AACCUUUUAAUGGACGUUUUCAUUUACAAUAUUAUUUAUCAAUAAAGAAAUAAAACAAGCAGGAUUUUGGCCAUUAUACCUUGUGAGCAAGGUCGACUGGACAUGGCAAUUUUACACUACAAACAAGUUGUUACAUGUGACCCCAGAUUUUGGAAGCUUACAAUAAUUUAGGUUUUGCUUUGAGAGAUGUAGACAGGGUGGAAGUGUUCCAUCCAGCGUUUGGCAGGACAAGAUUUCAAAUGCUAAUAAAAGAUUGCUACUAGAGUUACAAAAUAAUCAAUUUGCAAACAUAUCAGGCGCUACUAAUCUUCCUCCAAAUGUCACACUCUUGCUUGAUGGGAAUCCUCUGUGCUCAGAUAACACAUUCAAUCAGUUCUGUAAACUUGAAAGAGCUCCACAUUUCAAUGCAUUUGAGGAAUAUUUGACUUCUAAUCUUAAGCUAUAUGCCAAUCAACUGAGCUAUGCUUUUGAGUGGCUAGUAGGACCAUGAUUGCUAAUGAUCUUGAAGUUUUUUUUCCUGAAUAUGUUGAUAACAAUAGCUCGCGCACUUUCUGUUCAAGUGAAAUCCAACGGAUCAGAAACAUGUUCACUAGAUGGGUCAUUCCUAAUCGUGAUUUGUUCAGGACUGAGACCUCGUCCAAUUCAGGCCUAAGCACAGGUGCUUUGUUUGGUAUGAUCUUAAUCCAACUGUCAGCAAGCAUCCGCUGUUGUCAUUCUCUCCCCGAAGUUGCCGCUUCCAUCACUUGAAUCUCCGACGAUAUUGUUAUUAUUUGUGUGGCCUUCAUGCUGUGUAGUUGUGCUGCUGGAAGAGAAUCCACAAACAGUCCUACUCAGUCACAUACAUUGCAAUAUGAAUUAGGGACAUCAAAGAGCUUCCUCCACACCGACUGGCUGAAAUAAGAAGAUUAUAUGAAGACUACAAAAAGAAAGAGAACAACAACAAAAUACAGCAUCGCUUCAAUUUCAUAGUUUCAUAGCAAUUCUCGCCAAAAAAACCAAACUUUCACCUCAAAACUUCUGUAUACUCUUCUCAAUUUCACACUUCCAGGUGAGCAAGAUAAACGGUGUUCUUAUCCAUGUUGCAAGUGUAUCUGAACUUAUGAAGGAUGGAAAACAAACUCUUCUCAAUUUCACACUUCCAGGUGAGCAAGAUAAACGGUGUUCUUAUCCAUGUUGCAAGUGUAUCUGAACUUAUGAAGGAUGGAAAACAUAGUUGGUGCGAUGUUGUCGGACACUAUUUUUCUCCAAAAAAAAAACAUGCAUGUAACACCAUCUAGUUUCUAUUGAUUGGUUGAAGAGUAGGAAAGAUUAGAAGCUGGUUGGAAUAGUGGGCUCUGUUUACUGUUGUUUGAGCUGCGAUGAUGUAGAAGAUUAUGUGAACCCAAAUAAUCCUGCGUGUAGGAACGACAUGUGUCUCAGUUGCUUGGUACAUAAUCUUUUGAAUGUGUGUGCAUCAAUAUUCCGAAGAGGCGAAGCACUUUCAAUUUCUUCAUCUCUUUAAGGAACAACAUCCAUGACAUCUGUAGCAUCACUUGAUAAUUCUCCAUCGGACAUGUACCGUUCUCCUCCAAGGCCCUUACCAUAUGAUGCAGAGCCUCUAAACUCAACAGACAAAUGGAAUGAAUGUGCCCGAGAAGAUGAAUUGAAGAUAUACCGUUCUAAGUCUGCAUCAAGAACUUUCAUCAGCAAAAUACACACUUGGAGUUGGGCUUGUUUACACGUCAUCAUCAGAAGAAGAGGAUAUCUGUCCAACUUGCCUUGAAGAAUACACUAAAGAGAAUCCCAAGAUAAUGACAAAAUGCUCUCAUCAUUUUCACCUUAGCUGCAUCUAUGAGUGGAUGGAGAGAAGUGACAACUAUCCAGUUUGUGGAAAGGAGAUGGAAUUCGAUGAGACAAUAUACUCUUGAUAAUCUGGAGGUGGAUAAAGGCAACAUCUAAAGAUAGUAGUCAGGCUGCAGUGAAAAGAAAAAUCACUAAGAAUCAAAGAGAAUUUGAAUUUGAAGUCAGUAUUCUAGGAAUAAUUCAACACAAAAAAUACCGUGUAUCCCGUACUUGGGAUGGAUCUACUGAUCUGGAAACUAUUAACACGCAGCAAGUUCAUUCAAGCACUUCUGAAAAUGCCAUGAAUUUGUCUUCGGAUGUUCAUGGUUUGCCCAAAGCUUCGGUAUCGGAUGCUGAGAUCAAGCCAAAUGAUCUAC
This 2198-nucleotide long non-coding RNA is filed under the name Lathyrus oleraceus (garden pea). RNAcentral describes it as "Pisum sativum (pea) long non-coding RNA (PSAT_LNC010297)". The record is from RNAcentral. Lineage: Eukaryota; Viridiplantae; Streptophyta; Magnoliopsida; Fabales; Fabaceae.